AUUGAACGCUGGCGGCAGGCCUAACACAUGCAAGUCGAACGAGCGGCGGACGGGACAGUAAUGUCUGGGAACCUGCCUGGUGGAGGGGGAUCACUACUGGAAACGGUAGCUACUACCGCAUACCAUCAGAUGUGCCCAGAUGGGAUUAGUUUGUUGGUGGGGUAACGGCUCACCAAGACGACGAUCCCUAGCUGGUCUUAGAGGAUGACCAGCCCCCCUGGAACUGGGACACGGUCCAUACUCCUACGGUAGGCAGCAGAGGGGAAUAUGGGACAAUGGGCGCAGGCCUGAUGCAGCCAUGCCGCGUGUAUGAAGAAGGGCUUCGGGUUGUAAAGUACUUUCAGCGGGGAGGCGUGACCCGCAGAAGAAGCACCGGCUAACUCCGUGCCAGCAGCCGCGGUAAUUC
Molecule: ribosomal RNA, 406 nt
Filed under: uncultured bacterium
Lineage: Bacteria
Description: partial 16S ribosomal RNA
Rfam family: Bacterial small subunit ribosomal RNA
Source: RNAcentral